RNAcentral lists this long non-coding RNA (262 nucleotides) under Brassica napus (rape). Its description in RNAcentral is "long non-coding RNA (BNAP_LNC009903)". The record is from RNAcentral. Lineage: Eukaryota; Viridiplantae; Streptophyta; Magnoliopsida; Brassicales; Brassicaceae.
GGCAAAACUAAUUCAUUAAAGGAGAAUAUUGUAUGGCAAAAUAAUCAUACAGAAAUGUUACCGAAAGAAUCUUUUUCGUUGGUGGAGCUUUUAAGCAGAGCUUAGUUUACGACUUUGUUUCCCUGACAAAGAACAAUAGAUUUUGGUUAAGAACAGGUUUCCGUUCAUCGGGUGCCCAUUUCUCCCCACCCUGAUCAGCCUGAUAUGACAGAGAACGCCGUCGAUCUUCUCUGCCAAGACUUUACUGUUCAGCUUCCUCUCC